RNAcentral lists this ribosomal RNA (465 nucleotides) under uncultured bacterium. RNAcentral describes it as "partial 16S ribosomal RNA". It matches the Rfam family "Bacterial small subunit ribosomal RNA", at positions 339 to 795 of the family's 1533-position model. The record is from RNAcentral.
CUACGGGCGGCUCCAGUAGGGAAUUUUGCGCAAUGGGCGAAAGCCUGACGCAGCAACGCCGCGUGAUCGAUGAAGCUCCUAGGAGUGUAAAGAUCUGUCAUAAGGGAAGAAAAGUUUUAAUAUUAAUAGUAUUAGAAUUUGACGGUACCUUAUAAGAAAGCACCGGCUAACUUCGUGCCAGCAGCCGCGGUAAUACGAGGGGUGCAAGCGUUGUCCGGAAUCAUUGGGCGUAAAGGGUGCGUAGGCGUCCGAGAAAGUUAUUUGUUAAAUCCUCCGGCUUAACCGGAGUUCUGCAAGUAAAACUACUCGGAUAGAGUUUAAGAGAGGAAAAUGGAAUUCCUGGUGUAGCGGUGACAUGCGUAGAUAUCAGGAGGAACAUCUAUGGCGAAGGCAGUUUUCUGGCUUAAAACUGACGCUGAGGCACGAAAGCGUGGGGAGCAAACAGGAUUAGAUACCCCCGUAGUC